CACGUAGGAGGCAAACGUUAUCCGGAUUUACUGGGGCGUAAAGCGCGCGCAGGCGGUUGGUUGCGUCGGGUGUGAAAGCCCCCCCGCUCAACGGGGGAGGGGUCAUUCGAAACGGGCCAACUGGAGGCAGGGAGAGGUCGGUGGAAUUCCCGGUGUAGUGGUGAAAUGCGUAGAUAUCGGGAGGAACACCAGUGGCGAAGGCGGCCGGCUGGACCUGACCUGACGCUGAGGCGCGAAGGCGUGGGGAGCGAACGGGAUUAGAUACCCCGGUAGUCC
RNAcentral lists this ribosomal RNA (276 nucleotides) under uncultured prokaryote. Its description in RNAcentral is "partial 16S ribosomal RNA". It matches the Rfam family "Bacterial small subunit ribosomal RNA", at positions 524 to 796 of the family's 1533-position model. The record is from RNAcentral.